UGCUUUUUGAUCCUUCGAUGUC
Molecule: non-coding RNA, 22 nt
Filed under: Arabidopsis thaliana (thale cress)
Lineage: Eukaryota; Viridiplantae; Streptophyta; Magnoliopsida; Brassicales; Brassicaceae
Source: RNAcentral